Molecule: long non-coding RNA, 4128 nt
Filed under: Mytilus galloprovincialis (Mediterranean mussel)
Lineage: Eukaryota; Metazoa; Mollusca; Bivalvia; Mytilida; Mytilidae
Source: RNAcentral
CGACCUCCCAGGUAAACCAGACGGGAAUGCAUAUUUCAAAGUAAAAGGUAAUAUUUAGGAUCUAUAUAAUAUUUCCGAUAAAUACUUUCGUUGUUUAUUUUGUCAAUUCUUCCUAAUCAAAUAAUGACUUAAAUUGUUACGUGAAAUGUGAAUAAUGAUUUAUUUAACUUUCGUUUUGGACUUGAACAUAAUCCAUAUUUAUCUUAAUUUAUGUUAUGUCCCAAUUCUAGGGCAAGUUAUUGUUUUCGUCCAUAAUAUCUUCAUUUUUACACGAAAUUUGUAUCUGUAUAGCAUUAUACCAAUAUAUUGGAACUACAUUAUACACAGUUUACGAAAUCAUUCAAAUAGCAGGUUCAAGAAAUGGAACUUUGUCUUGUUUAUAUAUAUAUAUAUAUUAUAUAUAUAUAUGAUUAUAUAUCAGAACACAGGUAAAGUUUUUCCCAUAUAUUUACACCAAAUGUGAACCCACAAAAAAACUCAAAAUCACGUUAAUAUGAUCAUUUUUUGGAAUAUUUUUUUGUAAAAUUAUUUUUGUAAUUGUUUUAACAAAUUAUAUCUGUUAAAAGUCAAGAACCAGAACUCUAUCUUUAUUGUGUACAAAUACACCAAAUACUAGUCAACAAAAGAAACGAUACAAGGCAAUGUAUUUUCUAUAUAUUAUGAAAUUGGAUACACUGUACCAAGGUAAAUUGGUCUAAAAUUUUAUUGUUAUUUUCUUUUCAAAACCUUGAUUUAGGGCAAAAACGGAAACAAAUUUUAAAUUUGUUUGUUAUUUCAAAAACCGUAUUUUCAACCAAAUUUUCAAAACUUUAAAAAAAAAAAUAGAAUUAACAUAUUUUUGAGUGAAACAUGGUCGUCCUAAAAUUGUGAAUGCUUUUCCAGAUAACUGAAUGAAUAAUUUUGAUCUUCGAAAUUAAGGGACGACUUUUGUCUUCAUUUUCCGCAAACUCAAUUUGACCCCUGUGUACAAUAACUCGAUAUUUUCCAUCUUUCCAAUUUGGUCAGAUUCUUUUAAAAAUAUGCAUUUCAUUCGUAAAAGAAUGCCUCUUUCAUUGGAUAAUAUAAUUUUUUCAUAUUUUUUUAUAUUUUGUGAUAUAUUUGAGUUCAAAGUUGUAUAUCGUUUCUUCUAUUUGUCUUAUUUACAAGGAAUAUUUUGAAUAUCCUUGUCCUGCGAAAUUGUGCUGUGAAGUGCAAAUAAAUUUGAUGGUGUAAUAAAUUUCUCUACUUUUUACUCGACUUAUCACUUUACUGGCCUGUUAAUUAUUUUAUUUAAUCAACAAUCAGGUAAUUCGUUUUGUCUCAGUAACUCGUUAGUCAAAAUUUUAUUAUGACGUCAUAUUGUUUUGCUUUUCAUGGAUAAUGACGUCACGUCGACAUAAUAUAUUUGUGCAUAUCGUCUACAAAUCAUGAGAGAAACAAAUAUUGUACAAUACAAUAUGUAUCCACUCUCGACAGUUACAUUUUAAAUAUUUAUAACGCUAGGCUAGCCUUGCGUUUUACAUUUGAAAAUUAACUGCCGCUAGUGGAUGAAUGUUUUAUCACACGUGAUGCAGUGAUAGAAUCUCUAUCAAUAUAUUUAUUUGUAAAUGAUUGAUCGACAAGCUGGCUUGUUUAAAUUCGGUUGAAACAAGAACAGUUAUAUUUAGUUACCAAUCUCAAACGUAAAAUUAAUCUUUUAGACCGUAAAAAACUGAAUUUUAUAUUUAAAGCAAUCUGAACAGAAUUUUUAUGUAUACUUUCAUAGUCUCUGCACAAGUUCCAAUCAUUGAAAUUUAUUUUUGUUUUGGAUAUCAAAAAAUGUAAAAUGAGAUGAAUUAAAAUUAUUCCGACAAUUGAUUAUUGAUAUUAAACCCCAUUUUCAGUAUUCAUGGCUAUAUUAAGAAACAUGUUUAAAUAGAUGUAGAAAACCAGAGUGCCUGCGUCAACGCACUUCGACAGGAAAACUAAAUUAAGGUGGUACCUAACACUUUAACUAAAUUUAAUUUGGCUCGUUUAAUUUUCUUAUUAUUUUGACAAAUUAUUUACUUUGACCCUUUGACAAAAAAUAUAAAAAUCAAAAAUUUGAACCAAAUCGUUUAAUCAGAAAAAUUACAUGGUUAUAUAGCAGUUUGACACUUAUUUUUGAUCAUUUGAGAGCUUGUAUCCUUAUGAACACAAAUCAUUAAACUUCUGUGAUUUUACAGAGUUAUCUCCCUGUAGUGUUAGGUACCACCUUAAGUUAUUGGGUUUGAUGUUGAUGGUUCAUUGAUGUGUUGUUUUAAACUUUUAAAUCCGCUAUUGUUAUUUGCAGUGUGUGUUAAAUGGCAACAGCUACUAAAACCUGCGGUGUUUGUGACCUCCGUCAUAUCACAAAACCACCCAUAAUCUGGUGUUCAGAAUGUGAUGAGGGACUAUGUACAGAAUGCCAAGAGCAUCACAGUUUAUCGAAAGGAACCAGAAACCAUAAUAUCAUACCAAUUACUCAAUACACGAAAUUACCAGCUGAUGUGCUAAUGAUUAGCCAAAACUGUAGUAAACACGAUAAAAAGUAUCAAAUGUAUUGCCAGAAGCAUGAAUUACCCUGCUGCAAUAAAUGUAUCGUGGAAAACCACAAUGAAUGCGGAGACAUCGUCGAACUAGAUGACGUCAUUCAUAAUGUCAAAACCUCCAAUGUUAUUUGCGAAAUAGAGGAAACAUUAGUUGAAGUAGCAGAAAAUCUACAGAAAAUUCGCCAUCAUAAACAGAAGAAUAUGUCGACAUUGAUAGAAAGUAGAAAGGAAAUUGAAACACAAAUAAAGACAACCAGAAUAAAGAUCAACAACCAUCUUGAUAAACUACAAGAAGAUUUAAUGACACAACUGUAUGCGGAAGGAGAAAAAGAAAACUCCAAAAUUUGUCAGUUAUUGUUAGCAUUAGAAAAUAAAGAAAAGGAAAUAACAGAUUGUCAGAGAAACAUUAUGAACAUCAAACAACAUGCAACAGACCUGCAAGUCUUUCUCUCACUGACAAAAAUAGAGGAGGACGUCGAUUGCAAAAAUAAAUUCCUACAGUCGCUUGAAGAAGACAAAAAAAUCAAUCAAACUUCUCUUUCAUAUAAGGUCAACACCUCUAUCCAGAGUAUCAUUUCUGAUAUCAGUAGUUUUGGAGAAGUGCGUAUCGAAGCUAAAUCUUGCGAUUUUGUUCUGAUCAGAAAAAAAGCAAAACAAGCCCAAAUGAUGGUACCGACUGUUCAAUCCACAUUAAUUGAAAAUAUAACGUUAACGAAACAAAAAACGAUCAACUCUCAAGGAAUCUCAAUCUACGGAUGUUGCAUGCUGUCGGAUGGUAGAUUGGCAUUUACUUACUACUGGGAUAGUAAGGUAAUUAUAUUCAACAUGAAAGGAUUAAAAGACUUUGAAGUGGAGAUGCCUUGUGAAGCGUUUGAUAUAGUGCACAACAGUGAGGAUAAUACAUUGGCUGUCACAUCUGGUAGUUCAGUUCAGCAGUGUAUUACCAUUAUAGACUUGGAAAAGAAACAAAUCAAGAAAACAAUUUCACUAGAUUCUGAGUGUCAUGGCAUUGCAUUGAAAGGUAAUCGAUUGAUUUAUUCCGGUAGAGACAAAGGAAUACGAAUGAUCAACCUGAAGGACGAGUCGAUAUGUACAAUAGUGCGGGACACCAUGCCACCUGACUGUUACACUGCAACAUUUAGGGAUAGCAUAUAUCAUACAAACAAUAAAACAGACACUGUAACAUGUUAUAAUCUACAAGGAGAAAUACAAUGGACAUUCCAAAAUAAGAACAUUCUUAAGAGUCCUCGUGGCAUUGAUGUAGAUAGUGAUGGUAAUGUGUACGUGGUGGGGUACAAGUCGAACAAUGUUGUAGUUAUCGCACCUGACGGACAGCGACAUAGAAAAUUAUUGACAGCAAGUGAUGGUUUAAGUGAUCCUAUGUCACUUCAUUAUAGCGGAACAAAGAAUCAGUUGCUAGUUGCGAACUUACAUAACACAGCCCAUUUGCUUGAUGUUAUUUAAACAAAUUGGAAGUUACAACUUCUUUAACUUCAAGUCAUUCUACGCAGUGUUUAACCUAGAAGUUCGAAACCUAUUUUGUUACUUUCUAACAGAAAUAAAAAUUUAGUAUGUGUUUUAAACAAAUUCGUUUACCAAU